GGUCUCCAGGCAGAAAUGCUUCUCGCCGUUUGGAGGAUCUGGCUCAUGUCUAUCUGUCCAAAAAGAGAAAGAUAAGUAGGAAAGAAUCACACCCUCCCGAUGGAAAAGGAAUUUGUAAUGCUGAACCUGAAAAUCUUCCUUUGUCAGAACCUACGAUGCCUUCCAUCCCCAUCCUCCUGACCCAGGAAUCCGGGGCAACAGAGAAUGAGACUGACGUUCUCCAGACCACUGUGAAUGACUUGCAUGGCAAUGAUGUACACAUAGAGAGUUUUUUUUUGUCUUGUUCGGAAGAGCACACUACUGGAGUUGAAUCGCUUGAAGUGGGUGAGCUUGUUGAGGAACCCCUGGACGCUACAAUGAACAUAUCCUCUUACAGAUACCAAGCUCCUGAUUCCACCUUAUUAUUAACUUUGACUUCUGUAGAUUCCUUCCCUUGCAGGGUCUACAAGCACUUACGCUCAAGGGAGAGUGGAAGAAUUUGAAUUUGUGGACUACUUAAAGAUUCCAGAAGAGUACAAAACUUUGUAUAAGAAGAUCUAUGAUAAGUAUGGGCAUAUGGCGUCUAGAAAAGUCAUCAAUUUCAAUGAUGAUAUGUUACUCACAUGUGUUACCUGUUUAUUAAAGAUCAUCUCGGAUAUGGAAACUGUGCCUGGUGCAGAACUGAGUGAAGAUUUGCUGCAGAGAUGGGAAAGAUUCAUCAAAGAUGCCAGCUGGAGAACCAAGUGUUCUACCACACAUACCAGGUAGGUUUGCUGCAGAACCAAGUGUUCAUGAUCUUUGUACUACAAAGAACUUGUAUUCCCUUAGGACAUAGGAAUGAACUUGAUAUAAGUGAGAACGAACUGAACUUAGAAAGUUUCUACAUAUUCCCUUAGAAUUUUUUUGGUACUUCAAGAAUUUGUUUUCCUUUUUGAUAAGUAUUGAAUGAGUAUUGAUAUGAAUGUUUAUGU
Molecule: long non-coding RNA, 950 nt
Organism: Papaver somniferum (opium poppy)
Lineage: Eukaryota; Viridiplantae; Streptophyta; Magnoliopsida; Ranunculales; Papaveraceae
Exons: 2
Source: RefSeq, a predicted model, not a curated record